AGUGGAAAGUUCACACUGUGACGGUAGCUUACCAGAAAGGGACGGCUAACUACGUGCCAGCAGCCGCGGUAAUACGUAGGUCCCGAGCGUUGUCCGGAUUUAUUGGGCGUAAAGCGAGCGCAGGCGGUUUGAUAAGUCUGAAGUUAAAGGCUGUGGCUCAACCAUAGUUCGCUUUGGAAACUGUCAAACUUGAGUGCAGAAGGGGAGAGUGGAAUUCCAUGUGUAGCGGUGAAAUGCGUAGAUAUAUGGAGGAACACCGGUGGCGAAAGCGGCUCUCUGGUCUGUAACUGACGCUGAGGCUCGAAAGCGUGGGGAGCGAACAGGAUUAGAUACCCUGGUAGUCCACGCCGUAAACGAUGAGUGCUAGGUGUUGGAUCCUUUCCGGGAUUCAGUGCCGCAGCUAACGCAUUAAGCACUCCGCCUGGGGAGUACGACCGCAAGGUUGAAACUCAAAGGAAUUGACGGGGGCCCGCACAAGCGGUGGAGCAUGUGGUUUAAUUCGAAGCAACGCGAAGAACCUUACCAGGUCUUGACAUCCCGAUGCUAUUUCUAGAGAUAGAAAGUUACUUCGGUACAUCGGUGACAGGUGGUGCAUGGUUGUCGUCAGCUCGUGUCGUGAGAUGUUGGGUUAAGUCCCGCAACGAGCGCAACCCCUAUUGUUAGUUGCCAUCAUUCAGUUGGGCACUCUAGCGAGACUGCCGGUAAUAAACCGGAGGAAGGUGGGGAUGACGUCAAAUCAUCAUGCCCCUUAUGACCUGGGCUACACACGUGCUACAAUGGUUGGUACAACGAGUUGCGAGUCGGUGACGGCGAGCUAAUCUCUUAAAGCCAAUCUCAGUUCGGAUUGUAGGCUGCAACUCGCCUACAUGAAGUCGGAAUCGCUAGUAAUCGCGGAUCAGCACGCCGCGGUGAAUACGUUCCCGGGCCUUGUACACACCGCCCGUCACACCACGAGAGUUUGUAACACCCGAAGUCGGUGA
Molecule: ribosomal RNA, 980 nt
Filed under: Streptococcus thermophilus
Lineage: Bacteria; Bacillati; Bacillota; Bacilli; Lactobacillales; Streptococcaceae
Description: bacterial SSU rRNA
Rfam family: Bacterial small subunit ribosomal RNA
Source: RNAcentral